RNAcentral lists this ribosomal RNA (132 nucleotides) under uncultured bacterium. Its description in RNAcentral is "partial 16S ribosomal RNA". It matches the Rfam family "Bacterial small subunit ribosomal RNA", at positions 1368 to 1500 of the family's 1533-position model. The record is from RNAcentral.
ACGUUCUCGGGCCUUGUACACACCGCCCGUCACACCAUGGGAGUCGGUAACACCCGAAGUCUGUAGCCUGACGCAAGAGGGCGCAGCCGAAGGUGGGGAUUGAUGACUGGGGUGAAGUCGUAACAAGGUAAC